This 264-nucleotide ribosomal RNA is filed under the name uncultured archaeon. Its description in RNAcentral is "partial 16S ribosomal RNA". It matches the Rfam family "Archaeal small subunit ribosomal RNA", at positions 717 to 982 of the family's 1478-position model. The record is from RNAcentral.
ACACGACUACAUUAGAUACCCGGGUAGUCCCAGCCGUAAACUAUGCGCGUUAGGUGUAUCGGUGACCACGAGUUACCGAGGUGCCGAAGGGAACCGUGAAACGUGCCGCCUGGGAAGUACGGUCGCAAGGCUAGAAACUUAAAGGAAUUGGCGGGGAGCACCACAACAGGUGGAGCCUGCGGUUUAAUUGGACUCAACGCCGGGAAGCUCACCGGAUAGGACAGCAGAAUGAUUGCCGGGCUGAAGACCCUGCAUGACUAGCUG